AGAGUUUGAUCAUGGCUCAGGAUGAACGCUAGCGGCAGGCUUAACACAUGCAAGUCGAGGGGUAUAGUAGCAAUACUAGAGACCGGCGCACGGGUGCGUAACGCGUAUGAAUCUACCUUUUGCAGAGGGAUAGCCCAGAGAAAUUUGGAUUAAUACCUCAUAGUAUAAUUGAAUGGCAUCAUUUAAUUAUUAAAGUCACAACGGCAAAAGAUGAGCAUGCGUCCCAUUAGCUUGUUGGUAAGGUAACGGCUUACCAAGGCAACGAUGGGUAGGGGUCCUGAGAGGGAGAUCCCCCACACUGGUACUGAGACACGGACCAGACUCCUACGGGAGGCAGCAGUGAGGAAUAUUGGACAAUGGGCGCAAGCCUGAUCCAGCCAUGCCGCGUGCAGGAUGACGGUCCUUGGAUUGUAAACUGCUUUUGCUCAGGAAGAAACAACGCUACGUGUAGCGUCUUGACGGUACUGUGAGAAUAAGGAUCGGCUAACUCCGUGCCAGCAGCCGCGGUAAUACGGAGGAUCCAAGCGUUAUCCGGAAUCAUUGGGUUUAAAGGGUCCGUAGGCGGUCUUAUAAGUCAGUGGUGAAAUCUCCCCGCUCAACGGGGAAACGGCCAUUGAUACUGUAGGACUUGAAUUAUUAGGAAGUAACUAGAAUAUGUAGUGUAGCGGUGAAAUGCUUAGAGAUUACAUGGAAUACCAAUUGCGAAGGCAGGUUACUACUAAUGGAUUGACGCUGAUGGACGAAAGCGUGGGUAGCGAACAGGAUUAGAUACCCUGGUAGUCCACGCCGUAAACGAUGGAUACUAGCUGUUGGGUGCAAACUCAGUGGCUAAGCGAAAGUGAUAAGUAUCCCACCUGGGGAGUACGUUCGCAAGAAUGAAACUCAAAUGAAUUGACGG
This 898-nucleotide ribosomal RNA is filed under the name uncultured bacterium. Its description in RNAcentral is "bacterial SSU rRNA". It matches the Rfam family "Bacterial small subunit ribosomal RNA", at positions 8 to 916 of the family's 1533-position model. The record is from RNAcentral.